AGCCUCCGCCCCGCCCCUCGUGACGCCGCCUGCAGGCGGGCCCCCGCCUGCCCCAGCUCAGCCCGGGAGCUCCGCUGAGCUGCGCGCCGCCGCCUCAAGCUCCCCUGCCGCAGCGCGCCGCAGCCGGGCCUCCCUGCGCGGGCGCCGGAGAGGAAGGAAGGCUGGCAGCCUCGUCACGUGUCCGCUGCAGUAGCGAAACAGUUCCGGUGGUGAGGAGACCUUUCCAAAUAUAAGAAGAAUAAAGAAGUCACCUCCCCAGCAGCUGUCAUCAUCUUCCAGCAGAUUGAGCAAGAAUAUUUUGAGCACUACAGGAAAGACAGUCCGUCAAACCCUAUAUGAUGAUCAGCCAUGUGAUUUUUUCAAGACGAGGAAUAGGGUGAAUGAAUCUCAUCAGAAAAGCAGGUAAAUAGUUUUAGUAUAAUUGUUUUAUCUUGCAAAAGGCUCAUUAUCUCUGUUGUCCAGAUUGAAUAUGUGGAGUGGGGAAAAAAAGUAAGUCUAUAGAUAAGAAAUAUACAUUUAUAUAUUCUUUUCUAGCAGAAAUGAGUGGAAAAGUGGUUUAAGCAUAAUAGUGGAUAAGGAUUCCAGUGGUCAUAAUUCUGGCAGUUGUUAGCAGAAUUAUAAUUUUGAGUAAGUCCUUUAAUGCUUUUCUAUGUUAGUUUCCUUUUAUAUAAAAGGAUACGGACAAUAAUUAAUUUUUAUGGAUGCAUACUGACAAGCAGAAACAAAAUGUUUUAACAGUGUUAUGAAUUCUGAAUAAUGGAGAUUCCUUCAUUUUUUCAUUCAUUUAUUCAACAUUUAUUGAGCACACAUUGUACUAUUGGCAAUGAUUUAAUAUCCUCCAUAUUUAUUAAUUAAAGUGUAGCACGUAUUCAAAUAGUUGCUUAGCUUAUU
RNAcentral lists this long non-coding RNA (891 nucleotides) under Piliocolobus tephrosceles (Ugandan red Colobus). Its description in RNAcentral is "lncRNA (ENSPTEG00000005705.1)". The record is from RNAcentral. Lineage: Eukaryota; Metazoa; Chordata; Mammalia; Primates; Cercopithecidae.